UACGUAGGGUGCAAGCGUUAUCCGGAAUUAUUGGGCGUAAAGAGCUCGUAGGCGGUUUGUCGCGUCUGCUGUGAAAACCGGAGGCUCAACCUCCGGCCUGCAGUGGGUACGGGCAAACUAGAGUGCGGUAGGGGAGAUUGGAAUUCCUGGUGUAGCGGUGGAAUGCGCAGAUAUCAGGAGGAACACCGAUGGCGAAGGCAGAUCUCUGGGCCGUAACUGACGCUGAGGAGCGAAAGCGUGGGGAGCGAAC
This 250-nucleotide ribosomal RNA is filed under the name uncultured bacterium. RNAcentral's name for it is "partial 16S ribosomal RNA". It matches the Rfam family "Bacterial small subunit ribosomal RNA", at positions 524 to 773 of the family's 1533-position model. The record is from RNAcentral.